AGAGCGAACGCUGGCGGCAUGCUUAACACAUGCAAGUCGCACGGUUGGGGGCAACUUCCGGCAGUGGCGGACGGGUGAGUAACGCGUAGGGAUCUAUCCAUGGGUGGGGGACAACCGCGGGAAACCGCGGCUAAUACCGCAUGAUGCCUGAGGGCCAAAGCUCGCGAGAGCGCCUGGGGAGGAGCCUGCGUCCGAUUAGCUAGUUGGUGGGGUAACGGCCCACCAAGGCGUCGAUCGGUAGCUGGUCUGAGAGGAUGAUCAGCCACACUGGGACUGGGACACGGCCCAGACUCCUACGGGAGGCAGCAGUGGGGAAUCUUGCGCAAUGGCCGAAAGGCUGACGCAGCGACGCCGCGUGGGGGAGGAAGGCCUUCGGGUGUAAACCCCUGUUGCCCGGGACGAAUGUGCAUUUUGAGUGCAUUGACGGUACCGGGUGAGGAAGCACCGGCUAACUCCGCGCCGAGCAGCCGCGGUAA
RNAcentral lists this ribosomal RNA (476 nucleotides) under uncultured bacterium. RNAcentral's name for it is "SSU rRNA". It matches the Rfam family "Bacterial small subunit ribosomal RNA", at positions 26 to 523 of the family's 1533-position model. The record is from RNAcentral.